AGUGAACGCUGGCGGCAGGCCUAACACAUGCAAGUCGAACGGCAGCACGGCAGUAGCAAUACUGUGGGUGGCGAGUGGCGGACGGGUGAGGAAUACAUCGGGAUCUACCCUGUUGUGGGGGAUAACGUAGGGAAACUUACGCUAAUACCGCAUAAGAACUGAGGUUGAAAGCGGCGGACCGCAAGGCGUCGCGCGAUUGGAUGAACUGAUGUCCGAUUAGCUAGUUGGCGGGGUAAAGGCCCACCAAGGCGACGAUCGGUAGCUGGUCUGAGAGGACGACCAGCCACACUGGAACUGAGACACGGUCCAGACUCCUACGGGAGGCAGCAGUGGGGAAUAUUGGACAACGGGCGCAAGCCUGAUCCAGCCAUGCCGCGUGGGUGAAGAAGGCC
This 392-nucleotide ribosomal RNA is filed under the name uncultured bacterium. Its description in RNAcentral is "bacterial SSU rRNA". It matches the Rfam family "Bacterial small subunit ribosomal RNA", at positions 30 to 416 of the family's 1533-position model. The record is from RNAcentral.